ACCCCGGGAGGGGAGUGAAAGAGAACCUGAAACCCUGUGUCUACAAGCUGUGGAAGUACUUCUUAGGUACGACCGCGUACUUUUUGUAGAACGGUCCGGCGAGUUACGCUUACUGGCAAGGUUAAGCACUUCAGGUGUGGAGCCGUAGGGAAACCAAGUCUUAAGAGGGCCAGAGUCAGUAGGAGUAGACCCGAAACCGGGUGAUCUAUCCAUGUCCAGGUUGAAGCUGCCGUAAGAGGUAGUGGAGGACCGAACCCACAUCCGUUGAAAAGGGUGGGGAUGAGGUGUGGAUAGGGGAGAAAUUCCAAUCGAACCCGGAGAUAGCUGGUUCUCCUCGAAAUAGCUUUAGGGCUAGCCUCGAUACAGAUUUGCGGAGGUAGAGCACUGAAUUUCCUAGGGGGCGUCAAAGCCUACCGAAGAAUAUCAAACUCCGAAUGCCGCGUAAUCGAUUAUCGGGAGUCAGACUGCACGAGAUAAGUUGGGCGGUCAAAAGGGAAAGAGCCCAGACCUUCAGUUAAGGUCCCCAAGUGCGCGUUAAGUGGAAAAGGAUGUGGGAUUUCGAAGACAACCAGGAUGUUGGCUCAGAAGCAGCCAUACAUUCAAAGAGUGCGUAAUAGCUCACUGGUCGAGAGGUCCUGCGCCGAAAAUGUCCGGGGCUGAAACACGACACCGAAGCCGUGGACUCGCAAUGCGAGUGGUAGAGGAGCAUUCUUAAGACCGACGAAGCUGUACCGGAAGGAGCAGUGGAGGGAUAAGAAGAGAGAAUGCCGGAAUGAGUAGCGAGAGAAAGGUGGGAAUCCUUUCGGCCGAAUAUCUAAGGUUUCCAGAGUAAAGCUGAUCUGCUCUGGGUAAGUCGGGGCCUAAGCACAGGUCGCAAGACGUAAGCGAUGGAUAACAGGUUUAGAUUCCUGUACCACGCAUUAUCAGAACUGUAGGGACGCAUGUGGAAAGCACGGGCCGGGAAUGGAAAGACCGGUACAAGCGGGGUAGGUGUACAACAGGCAAAUCCGUUGUAUAAUCCGAAGACGUGAUGUGGAGCGAAAUAAAGUAGCAAAGCGUGUGAGCCAUGUGCCGAGAAAAGCUGCUAUUGUGUAAUGCGUGCCCGUACCGUAAACCGACACAGGUGGAUGAGGAGAGAAUCCUAAGGCCGGCGGAAGAAGCAUUGUCAAGGAACUCGGCAAAAUGGCCCCGUAACUUAGGGAGAAGGGGUGCCUGCGAGAGCAGGCCGCAGAGAAUAGGCUCAAGCAACUGUUUAGCAAAAACACAGGUCUAUGCGAAACCGAAAGGUGAGGUAUAUGGGCUGACGCCUGCCCGGUGCUGGAAGGUUAAGAGGAGAGGUUAGACGUAAGUCGAAGCUUUGAAUUUAAGCCCCAGUAAACGGCGGCCGUAACUAUAACGGUCCUAAGGUAGCGAAAUUCCUUGUC
RNAcentral lists this ribosomal RNA (1424 nucleotides) under human gut metagenome. Its description in RNAcentral is "bacterial LSU rRNA". It matches the Rfam family "Bacterial large subunit ribosomal RNA", at positions 523 to 1973 of the family's 2925-position model. The record is from RNAcentral.